Alligator sinensis (Chinese alligator) is the source of this 496-nucleotide long non-coding RNA. RefSeq lists it as uncharacterized. The transcript has 3 exons. The record is from RefSeq and is a predicted model, not a curated record. NCBI's taxonomy places the organism in Eukaryota, Metazoa, Chordata, Crocodylia, Alligatoridae.
GGAGGUUGUACUUAAGAGUUCUACAGAGAGGCUUGGUUGCCUGUCCAGCUGCUGUGAGAGGGGAACUCCUGAGGACUCUCAGAGAAGCGGCAAUAGCCCCACAAGGAGCAGCAUAACAGACGGUAGGAAGCAGAAGCACAGAGCCAUGGAAAAAUUGGCCACCAGAGUGGGGAUCUGUAAUAGACUGCCAAGUCAGGAAGAAGUACUGGAUAAAGCACUCUUCAAGGGAAGCACAAGAAAAAAAGGCUAGAGACCAGUGUCUGCACAAGGAGCUUCCAAGAGGCCUCAACAGCAAAACAAAAGUGUACAACCAAUGGAACAAUGAAGAGGCAAACCAGCAAGGAAACAAACCAGAAAAUAGCAAGAACUUGCAUGGACAAAAUCAGGUCUGCAGAACUGGCAGAAGGCCCCACUCACUUCCCAGGGACCCCUGAGCCUGGAAGAGACUUCUUUUAUCCAGUCACUGACUUCAAUAUUAACUCUCUUACCUUUAUUG